GAUGAACGCUGGCGGCGUGCCUAAUACAUGCAAGUCGAGCGAACAGACGAGGAGCUUGCUCCUCUGACGUUAGCGGCGGACGGGUGAGUAACACGUGGAUAACCUACCUAUAAGACUGGGAUAACUUCGGGAAACCGGAGCUAAUACCGGAUAAUAUAUUGAACCGCAUGGUUCAAUAGUGAAAGACGGUUUUGCUGUCACUUAUAGAUGGAUCCGCGCCGCAUUAGCUAGUUGGUAAGGUAACGGCUUACCAAGGCAACGAUGCGUAGCCGACCUGAGAGGGGGAUCGGCCACACUGGAACGGAGACACGGUCCAGACUCCUACGGGAGGCAGCAGUAGGGAAUCUUCCGCAAUGGGCGAAAGCUUGACGGAGCAACGCCGCGUGAGUGAUGAAGGUCUUCGGAUCGUAAAACUCUGUUAUUAGGGAAGAACAAAUGUGUAAGUAACUAAUCACGUCUUGACGGUACCUAAUCAGAAAGCCACGGCUAACUACGUG
Molecule: ribosomal RNA, 497 nt
Filed under: uncultured bacterium
Lineage: Bacteria
Description: partial 16S ribosomal RNA
Rfam family: Bacterial small subunit ribosomal RNA
Source: RNAcentral